Molecule: ribosomal RNA, 966 nt
Filed under: Microbacterium sp.
Lineage: Bacteria; Bacillati; Actinomycetota; Actinomycetes; Micrococcales; Microbacteriaceae
Description: bacterial SSU rRNA
Rfam family: Bacterial small subunit ribosomal RNA
Source: RNAcentral
GCUGCGUGCGUACCAUGCAGUCGACGGUGAACACGGAGCUUGCUCUGUGGGAUCAGUGGCGAACGGGUGAGUAACACGUGAGCAACCUGCCCCUGACUCUGGGAUAAGCGCUGGAAACGGCGUCUAAUACUGGAUAUGUGACGUGACCGCAUGGUCUGCGUCUGGAAAGAAUUUCGGUUGGGGAUGGGCUCGCGGCCUAUCAGCUUGUUGGUGAGGUAAUGGCUCACCAAGGCGUCGACGGGUAGCCGGCCUGAGAGGGUGACCGGCCACACUAGGACUGAGACACGGCCCAGACUCCUACGGGAGGCAGCAGUGGGGAAUAUUGCACAAUGGGCGCAAGCCUGAUGCAGCAACGCCGCGUGAGGGACGACGGCCUUCGGGUUGUAAACCUCUUUUAGCAGGGAAGAAGCGAAAGUGACGGUACCUGCAGAAAAAGCGCCGGCUAACUACGUGCCAGCAGCCGCGGUAAUACGUAGGGCGCAAGCGUUAUCCGGAAUUAUUGGGCGUAAAGAGCUCGUAGGCGGUUUGCCGCGUCUGCUGUGAAAUCCGGAGGCUCAACCUCCGGCCUGCAGUGGGUACGGGCAGACUAGAGUGCGGUAGGGGAGAUUGGAAUUCCUGGUGUAGCGGUGGAAUGCGCAGAUAUCAGGAGGAACACCGAUGGCGAAGGCAGAUCUCUGGGCCGUAACUGACGCUGAGGAGCGAAAGGGUGGGGAGCAAACAGGCUUAGAUACCCUGGUAGUCCACCCCGUAAACGUUGGGAACUAGUUGUGGGGUCCAUUCCACGGAUUCCGUGACGCAGCUAACGCUUUAAGUUCCCCGCCUGGGGAGUACGGCCGCAAGCCUAAAACUCAAAGGAAUUGACGGGGACCCGCACAAGCGGCGGAGCAUGCGGAUUAAUUCGAUGCAACGCGAAGAACCUUACCAAGGCUUGACAUAUACGAGAACGGGCCAGAAAUGGUCAACUCU